Molecule: ribosomal RNA, 329 nt
Filed under: uncultured eukaryote
Lineage: Eukaryota
Description: partial 18S ribosomal RNA
Rfam family: Eukaryotic small subunit ribosomal RNA
Source: RNAcentral
CCCUUAGAUGUUCUGGGCCGCACGCGCGCUACACUGAUGCAUUCAACGAGUCUAAAACCUGCUCUGAUAGGGGUGGGUAAUCUUUUGAAUGUGCAUCGUGAUUGGGAUAGAUGACUGCAAUUUUUCAUCUUCAACGAGGAAUGCCUAGUAAACGCAAGUCAUCAGCUUGCAUUGAUUACGUCCCUGCCCUUUGUACACACCGCCCGUCGCUCCUACCGAUUGAAUGAUCCGAUGAAUAUCAUGGAUUGAGGAUGCAAGUAGGUUCGCCUAUCUUCAUCUUCGAGAAGUGAAGUAAAUCUUAUCAUUUAGAGGAAGGAGAAGUCGUAACA